Molecule: ribosomal RNA, 210 nt
Filed under: uncultured Streptococcus sp.
Lineage: Bacteria; Bacillati; Bacillota; Bacilli; Lactobacillales; Streptococcaceae
Description: partial 16S ribosomal RNA
Rfam family: Bacterial small subunit ribosomal RNA
Source: RNAcentral
CGGGGAGUGACGUCAAAUCAUCAUGCCCCUUAUGACCUGGGCUACACACGUGCUACAAUGGUUGGUACAACGAGUUGCGAGUCGGUGACGGCGAGCUAAUCUCUUAAAGCCAAUCUCAGUUCGGAUUGUAGGCUGCAACUCGCCUACAUGAAGUCGGAAUCGCUAGUAAUCGCGGAUCAGCACGCCGCGGUGAAUACGUUCCCGGGCCUU